UGCGUGUGUGUUUGCCCCAUCCCAGAGUGCUCCACGAUACCCAGCUAGCGUUCGCUCGAGGAAAAAGACAUCCCGAUCUGUUCGAUCUGGGAACGAGCCCCGCAUCCAUCUGGACCGUCCCAGCAUGAAACACCACACACAACCGACGGAAACCCUAGCCACCCACGCUGCAUAGCUCCUCCCCGCCGCCCCAUUCCUCGCCUCCCCUCCGCCGCCCCUUCGCUUCCUCCUCCCCGCCACGUCCAGCUCCCCAUGAACAGGACUGAGAGGAUGUAGCCCUUCCUCACCGGCGCUCGGUCCGCAGAUGCGACGCGCGAGAGUGAAGGAUGAGCGGCAGUGGCCCACUCCCUCCUCUUCGCUUCCGCCCUCCCUCCCCUGGUCGUCGCCUCUCUUUCCUCACACCGCCUCCUCUCCUCCCAGUGGGCUCGUCUCUCCUCUGUGGGCGAAAUCCAUGGGAAUCACGAUCAACAGCGUGGAGGAUGCGGCAGUGGCAUGGGAAGUCGACGGCGCCGACGAGGAUGGAGACAAAAACUCACUGGACACAGAAACGUACUGGGCUCCAGCGCCGUCGUUGGAGGCGAGGGCCAUCGUGGGCGUGCAGUGACGAGCGCACAGCUUUUCCUCGUAUGGAUGUCAAUGCUUCAACUGCCACCCAAACAUAACUAAAUGGCUCCUGCCGAAGGAAUGUACUGAUGAUGAGUCUACCGCCUUAGUUUACAAAGUAUAUUGCUACGAUGCCCUGCGGUAUUUUAUCUAUGAAGUCAGUAGUCAGAUGGGUUCAGUUACUUGGUUUUGCUUGAGGAGAUCAAUAGUCUGUGGGAUAUCAGUUGAACGUAAACUCAUUAUCGCUGCCUACAAACCAAAACCCACUUAAUCACAACUUGAUCACACUUCGUAUCACAGGUAUGCGAUGUUGCGUCCUUUUCAUGGUUCUAUUGGUAAAGAGUUUCCGUUUCCUUCCCCGUUGUGGUCUCAGUCUGCUGGUCUAGAGGGACUUAUGUUGAACAUUUCGUUUCUGUACUUGGCACACAAUGCACUCAAUACUAUAGGCUUCUUAAAGGACAAUCUUCGAGUGAGUCAAAUUUGCUUCAGAUUCUAGAAUCUAUGUCCUGGAAUUUCAGUACAUCUCAUGUAACAAAUUCCAACAUUUUUUCUAAUUUUAUUACAGGAGUUCUUUUAUUCGGUUUGGUUGUGAGAGUUUAUUCUAGAGCCAACAAGCAAGAAAAAAGUUGGAAUGAACAAUCUACAGGGUAAGUACAGUACCAUAUUAAUCUGUUUUCUUACUGGAGGAUGAGUACUAUUUAGUUCUUGUUUAUGGAAAGCAUACUGAUGAUGAUGGUUCAGGUAAAGAUAUGAUGCAAAAGCAUCGCCGGUUAGACUUAUUCAGUGGUAUCAUUACAUAUGUCGGUAAAAAACUAAGAACGUGUCUAAAUUGUUAGGCUCGCUUGCUCUAUCAGGCCUGUACUUGUCAAACUUUCUUUUAGGUGACAUUAUUAUUUGAACUAUUACAUGCCACACGAGGUUCCUUGAUAAAAUUCUGUGAAGUUUUCCUUCUUUGAAGCUACAAUCAUUUAAAUUCAUACUUAUUGUGAGCUGCAUGAAUCAACUUGCACAAUUUUCCCGAUGGAAUGGUGGUGUUUCUUGGGUCUGUGAAGGUAAUUCCUUUGUGUAUUCAUGUUAUUAUAUUCACAUAAUUGAUGUUCUAAAGAGGUUUUAGGACUUAGACUUCACCUUGCAUUUUUUCUAAUAGAGAAGUUACUGGGGCUUAGCUGGACUGUUGCAAUUUUCGAAGAGCUAAAUUACCAUUUCUGAUUAGAUUGGUCUAAUUAUAUUGGUAUAAUGUAAAAAUACAGGGUGUUCGUGUGGGAAUUAACUGGCUUCUGCUAUUGCCUUACAUAACAUACCUGAUGUGAUGAAAUCAACCCAUCAGCUUUUCUGGUUAAGUAACCUGACUUCUCUUAUCUGAAGGUGUGUGUUGCAUCCUUGCCACUUUGAAUAUCCUUUGCAGGUUUUUUCUAAUAAGAUUCAGCUGCCUUUAUUAUUUGGCUGUUAUAAUGCAAUGUUUAUAUGCCAUUAAAUUUUGAGUUUUUUUUUUGUAUUAACUAGGUCUACACGCUAUCUAAGUUAUAUCGCUGUGAGUGCACGCUAACCAUUAUGAUGUAUAAUAUUACAUUUAGUCAGUCUAUUUUCAGUUUGAUGCUGAGCAAGCAUAAUAGAAUUAGGUGGCAUUAAACGUAUUAGUACACAAGGGACCAAUUUGCAAAUUGUGUUUGCAUGAUCUAUUAUUUUGAAUAAAAUUAGCUGCAGAAUUUUUUUUUGUGUGGAGAGGAUGAUUUAGGGAAGUUAUGGUUGUACAAACAAAUAUCUGAGACUACUGAUUUUGUGUUGUUUACCAUCCGUGCUUCUUAUCUUAUCCAUUAUCCUAUGAUUAAAUAUACGCAUCUUCUUUAGGGACUGUCGAAUUGAUAUGUUUUCAGAAAUAAUUACAAAUUUGCAUAUAGAUUAUUAGAUCUUUAUUUCUAUGCUUAGAUUGUAUGCUUGUAGUAAUUGAAGUCCACCUUUUCUUUUAAUAUUGGUUGAGUUCUUCCCUGGUUUGUUGUAAUCUGUUGUCAUAAAUUAUUAUCUUAAAUCAAUGGGUUACUACCUUUAAGCGCUAUUUAUUGUUCGUUCUAUUUCACAAUAGUGAUAUUCAACUAUAUAUACAUAAAGUUGAUCUAUGUGGACAGGAUACUACAUCUGUAUCAUGAAAUCUUGAAAUCCCUGUAUCAUGAUAGCAUAGACUGACUUUGUUACUGUGUGGGAUCCUACAGCAAACCAAUACAUGUGAGCACAAGAGGUGAAAGCUUACUAGGAGCUUGAUUCACGUGGAAUAGUUGAUAGAUAUCUGAAACCAAGCUGAAUGAGAAGAAGUAAGUGCAAGCUGUGUUACUUCUUCCGUUUUCUUGUUGCACUUUGACUCGCAAUAGGAAGGUAAAUCAUGGUGACUGAUAUUACAUUCAGUGGUUGUUAAUUUCUUCUGUCUUAAUUUACCGAGGCAAACAGUUUUGCAUGUCCAAUGCAAGAACCAGAAACUGCAAGAAGCAGAAAUCAGCUGUUUAACAUAAAUGUGAUACCUAUCUAGGUGAAUCACUUCGUGCUUCAUGUGCAGAUUAGUUCAAAGAAUCAAAUUUCAUUCAAGGCAAGCUAACACAGGUCGAAAAGCAAUUGCCUGAAAACUCUCUCUCUCUGAUGUUUGAGAAGCAAACUCUUGCAGAUAGCUCAGUGCACAAGAGCUAUAUCAAAGUUAGCGAAGCAUCCAUAUAUUGGCAGUUUUGCUUUUGUUUUGCACUGUCAUUUGUGUAUCGUUGGAAGUAAGGAGAUGUGUUUUCUUUAUGCCUGUUGUAGAUGACUGAAUUCUGUAUUUGCUUUAUUGUGGAGUUACCAAGUGAUGUAAAGGCACUGGACUUUGAUUUUCUCCAAGCAAUAAUUUUAGGGCACUCAACUUUGAUUUA
Molecule: long non-coding RNA, 3491 nt
Organism: Lolium perenne
Lineage: Eukaryota; Viridiplantae; Streptophyta; Magnoliopsida; Poales; Poaceae
Source: RefSeq, a predicted model, not a curated record